This is a long non-coding RNA of Alligator mississippiensis (American alligator), 5327 nucleotides long. RefSeq lists it as uncharacterized. Lineage: Eukaryota; Metazoa; Chordata; Crocodylia; Alligatoridae. The record is from RefSeq and is a predicted model, not a curated record. The transcript is spliced from 3 exons.
CUGGCCUGGCUGGGGUUGCUAAGAGGGGGUCUGCCCCCUCAGCCCUGCACUUACCCUAGUGACCCCGUGCAGGCAACGCUAUCCUGGAGCUGUUGAAGGAGAAGGUGAACAAGCAGGCGUGGAGUGUACAUACUUUUUCCUAUCUUCAAGGCCGCGGGAAAGGUCCCAACCUUGGUUGGAAUUCAGCUGCUUCGGGUUCCAGUGGAGGUGAUACCUUCUUGCAGUGUGAGGCGUGAGUCUACAUUUGGUGACCUUGGCAACGAACAGCAGAAUUAGCGGUCAGAAGUACCUGGAAAGGUCCCUUCCAUCUGGGUUGAAGUGCGUUUUUCCAUUGAUAGACCUUUACGUAGACCCAAUCUCCUGCUUUAAGGUUGUGACAGGGAACAUCCGGUGGUUGAGGUAAGGCUCCUUGGACCUGGGCUGCAGCCUGAUGUUGAACCGGUUGUUGCUGAUGUGGGAGUCUCAGGAGAGCAGGGUUCGAACAAAGGUCCAGGAUAUCCUCUGCUGGCUCCGGUGGUGGGGGCGCCACGGGCAAUGCUGGAUACAUCGGAGCGGUGGCCGGCGUGUAAUUUGGGGGAGCAGCCAAUUUCUCCCGAACAGCUUUGAACUGCUGUUUUAAUUUUUCUUGAGAGUCUUUUAGACUUCUAGUUUGAGAUUCUGUCCGCCUUUUGGACAUUUCAUCAUACCAAUAAAAGUACAUGUCCCACUGGUAUUGUGGUGUUUUGGAUCCACGGGACUCUAAAGCCCCUCUUAAGUGCACUAUUUUAUCCCGAUCCAAUGUUCCUUCCUGUGGAAAAUGCUUUACGGGAUCAUCCCUAGUAUACCAGUUCCACUUAUCCAGGUACUUGCAAGCCUCGGGAGAAUAGUGUGUGUACAUGAAGUACGCCGGAGUCCCCUUAGGGGGGACGGGAACUUUUUUAGACUGACUUGUUCCCAUUUUCAGUCACACAGGGAGACGUAGGAGAGGCUUAUUUAGGAUGUCCGGGCCGCUCAGUGCCUUGCCCCGCAGUUUUUCACCGCCCAGACAAAAGGCUUCUGACCUGACACCGGCUCAUAAAAUGGAAAUGGGGAGGGAAACACAAGAGGGAUCCUUUCACUCCUGCUCUCAGCAGAAGCUACUGGGACAAGGGGUUUGGAAAAGACAAAAUCACUCAGACGCCCUGUCCACUGGGUCACGAGGUUCCAGCUGGGCCCCUUGCUUUCAACGCUACCUUUUUAGGCAGAAUCGGGGUGGGUAGACCCAGCCUUAGUCCCAGACCUGGUCAGUGGCUCAUUUUUCUAAAUGCACACACACACAUUCAUUCAAUAGCCAGAGAGAAAAAGACCAAAUCACUGGGAAGCCCUGUCCACUGGGUCACGAGGUUCCAGUUGGGCCCCCUUGCUUUCAAAAGUGCCCUGUCAGGCAGAAUUGGGGCGGCUGAACCCAACCGUAGUCUCAGACCUGGUCAGUGGCUCAUAUCUCUAAAUACACACACACGUGCAUUCUUUCAGUCAGCCAGACCUCCUCCCCCACACCGCCUGAGUUAAUUAACUACAAGCCCGAUGUGCUGUUGGAUGAAGGUGCUUCAAACAGUUUCUCCCUGAAUAAAAUGUACGUUACCAGACACAAAAUUGGAUCCUUUACCAGACAGAAAAGUUUAGCCGGCAGUAAGGUUCAGACUGACCUGGGUCUUGUCAUUACCCCUGGUGACACGUCGGCAUGACGACCUUGUCUUUUCUUCUCUCUUAGGUGUCUGGUGAGACUUGAGACCCCAAGCAUUCUGCUUCUGCCUUUUAUGUUCAACUUCACAGCUCAACAGGUACACCAACUUGUCGUGCUGGGACUGACGAGCAAUCCUAUCCUAAGUGUCUUCUGUUCCUCCUGAUUACCGCUGGGGGCUGUCGCACGGUUCAUCCCUUUUUGCCGUGAUGGAUGCUGGUGUCCAACUUGUACUUGUUUGCAUCCCUACUUCUCCCCGUGUGGUAGAGGCAGCAGGAAACCAGCUGGGCAGUCUUAGCGCUCCUUCUGGUUCCUUUGAAGGUCCCGCAAGUAGUGGGAGGCGAUCGACGGUCGUCUGGGUGUCAGCAUCGCCGUUGUAGCAGGGAGGGGACUGCGGAGGAGUCUCCCCAUCAGAAGCUGCGCUGGACCUUACUCAAGACCGGAAAUGGGCAUGUUGCUCAGAUUGAUUAAAGUAGAUCAGAGCCAUCCUGCAAUGUCGUCUUAAGAGUUGAUUUGAUGGUCUGAACUGUGCUGUCAGCCUGGCCAUUGGAUUGUGGGUACCCGGGGCUAGAAUGGGUGAUGGUUAUGCCCCAGUCGGUUGCAAAUUGUUUCAUCGUGUGACUUGCAAAUGGCACGUGAUCACAGACAAUUUCUCUAGGUAUGAAAUGGUGAGCAAACACAGACUUUGUUUUGCCUACUAUCAUGCCAGCUGUUUUGUCUGGCAGGUGCAAAACUUCAGGGUACUUGGAGUAAUAGUUGACUAGGAUCAAAUGAGACUGUCCCUGUUGGUCAAAAAUGUCUGCUGUCAGUUUUAGCCAAGGCAGGUCUGGGAUCUCAUGUGAGAUCGUGGGCUCUUUCUGAUUCCUGGGUUGGAGCUCUUGAGAAGGUGCACAAUUCGCAAUCCAUCACUCGAUGUGGGCAUUCGUUUUAGGCUCACUUUUCGUCUUGAGGGCGGGCUUCAACUCACCUGAGGUUGCAUAGGGAAUUUUUCUACAACCAUGCACAACUGGUGGUACCGCUGAGUCGACAUCGGUGUGGUGGGUACCAGGAAACUGGCCCAAACCUUCAAAAACGUCCAGGUAUAUUUUGAGACGGUCCGCCUUGGUUGCAGGUGCUGUCCGAGCCAUUCCAUGGACAUGUCGGAGAAGGUCUAAGGUGGUGCAUGCCACCCUACCACAUAUUGGUGGGUCACUAUUGUUUGUUAUAUAAAAAGUUAAAUCACGUUCAUUAGCACCAGAUUUGCAGCGUGCAAGGAUUGCACUUUUUGGUUGGAUGUGUGCACUGCUGAAGGCAAUCAAUGUAACAUGAGCUGGAGUCUUCCGCACUUUCCCUUUCAAAGGCUUUGCUACAUCUGCUGGGAUAAUGUUUGCUUCUGCUCCAGGAUCUCAUUUCAAAGCGACUGGCAAGCCAGCGAUCACGACUGUGCUAUACCAGGCAUUCUGGCUAUGAAAGGUCUGUGAAAGCUGCCUUGCAGCCAUUGGGACCAUAUAUAGGGCACUGGCUCCUUUUCCAGAUUUUGGACCCUCUGCCUUUGAUUUGCACAUUUUUGCAAAGUGGUUCACUCCCAAGCAUUUGUAACAACUUUCUCCAAAAGCUGGGCAGGACCCAGGCUUGUGUGUGUUUCCACACCUUCUGCAGGCUCUGCCUUUGUUUGCUUCAUUGCUCACCUGUGGAGCAAGCUUCGCUGGUGGCUUGCUUUGCUUUUGCAAAGUGCUCUGGCAGCUUGGCUUUUGCUCCCCUGUAUGCACGCUUGCUUCUGCAGACAUAACUCGGGCCUGAGCACUUGUGAGAGCCUUUGCUCUGCAGAUAUCCACAGGCUGCGCUAGGGUGAGGGAGGGAUUUAGCUGAAGCCUUUCUUUCAGGUUGCAGGCAGUUAUGCUGAAGACAAUUUUGUCCUGCAGCAUAACAUCCUCAGCGAGUGCAAAUUCACAAUGCUGUGCUCUGCUUCUGAGCUCCCUUACACAGUCAGCUAUGCCUGCAGCCUCACAUUGUAGCUAAGCUGCCAGAACUGCUACCUUUCAGAGACAGGGUUUUUCCUGGGUUUGCAGUACUUUUUGAAUUCUGCAAACACCUCAGGAAGGGUUUUGACACCCCUUGCAUGUUGGUGUCAACUUCUAGGGCUUUAUCCCCAGUGCAGUGAAGCAUGACUGCAAUUUUAUAAUCCUCUGCCUCUUCCGCAGCCUUUGUGACUGCAAGGUGUAAUCGAAGCCUCUGUUCCCAUCUCCUCCAAUCUCCCCAAGAUUUCCAGUGAAGGAGGAUGCUGGUGGAAUUUUGAAAUGCUCCAUGUUUUUCUUGGAAUGAAUGCUGCAACCCCCUUAAUCAGGAUGCCGGUGACUCGACCGAGAGACGGGUCACUUGUGACACCGUACAGUGUUUGCUGUAUGCCACCGGAUCCCAGGGACGGGGACUCGCUCAAACCUCCGCGCCUUUGGGGCCCCAUCCUCCAGUCACCGUUCAGCAGAGACCAGUGGAGUGGUAGAGAGCUUUAUCUUGAUUGGGAACAGGAUUCAUCAACUCACAUGCUCACACCAUGCAGGGAGAACUACAACUCCCCACCACUACAAACUGCACCCGCAGGGCAUCACGGGGAGAGACUGGGUGGUCCCGCUAUUGGCCCCUUGAAGGUACACAUCAUAUAGCACAAACAAUGCUCGCAUACAAAGGGGUGUGAUGGUGAAGCCUAAAGAGCUUGCCCAGGCUUCCCCAGCAGAGAUGGGGAGGCCUGGCCAGGGACAGAGGAGUGCACAUGCCCUCUCAUCUGUCCCGGCCUCCCCUGGCACACUACCUCUAUGCUAAUCACAAUUUGAUCCUGCUCAAGGACCUGGCCUUGGGUGCUGGGGACCACGGCCCCAGGAGCUGAGCUUCCAUGCUGGGCUCUGGGCUCCCUUCCUGCAGCACCAUGACUGCCCUGGUCGUCCUGGCCCUGCUCCCCCACGAGUGCUUGGGGCAGGGCUGGGGCUGGCAGCAGGGGUAGAGUCAGGGCCCUGGUGCCCAGCACCAGGUUGGGGCAGGUGAGGGGGGCUCCUGGAGGCUGUGGGGAGAGAUGUGCAUCUCACGGACAACCCCCUGCUCCCCACAAGCAGUCCAACCCCAGCCCUGACCCUCCAGCCUCAGCUCAGGCCACACCAGCCCUCUGGGCCACCUCUAGCCCCAGCUCCUUCUCCCACGGCCCAGCCCCUGCAGCUUCCCUGCCACCAGCACCCUCUGCCACUGAGACUCUUUCCCGGGCCUGUUUCCAGGAGCGGGAGGUGCUGGACUGUGAGGGGACCUUGUGAAGGUCAAGUGAGGCAAACAAAAAAUCACUUCAGAUUCAGAUGAUUUGGAGGACAGUGAUUCAAUUUGGUGAUUUGACUCACUGUCCUGGAUUAAUUCAGCCAGCCCCAGGUCCCAACUCUGACAAAAAUGAAGAAAAGCCCCCAGGUCACCAAGUACUGCCAGGUAGUGGGGUGGAUCCCCGCUGCCGCCUGCUGCAUGGGGGGCUCUGCCAUGAGCCCCCGAACCCGCAUGCCACUGCAGAAGCUGGUGAGUGGGGGGCUUAACUUUUUUUAAAGAACUGGGAACUGGGGCCAGGUUGGACAGCCAUGGUUCAGGGUGCAGGGUGGGGCUGGGGCAUUGGGCAUGGGUCAGG